RNAcentral lists this unclassified non-coding RNA (3124 nucleotides) under Hevea brasiliensis (rubber tree). Lineage: Eukaryota; Viridiplantae; Streptophyta; Magnoliopsida; Malpighiales; Euphorbiaceae. The record is from RNAcentral.
GCAGGAGCCAAACUAAAUACAGGGGCCAUGACUCCCAACUUUGAAAAUUUAUAUUAUUUUUUUUUCCACACAUUUUAUAUAAUGCUUUGUGAAAAAAUAGUUUUGGCCCUUCCAAAACUCAUAAAUUUUCAUACAACCCCAAUAUCAUAAACAAUUUUUUUUCAUUCUAAAUAUAUGUUUGGCUCUCCAAUUUUAAAGCUCUAGUUCCGCCUCUUGGUGCUCGAUUUGAAUCUCAUCGGUGGCAGAUCCACGUCUCUGUAAUAAAAAAAAUAACAACUGUCUGAAAUCAGUUAGAUGAAUUAUAUUUUGCCAUUCAAAUACAUUUUAGACCUAAUCCACAACCUGAUACUUAAAAAAACAAUAACAAUAAAAUAAGGAACUAGUAAGUAAAUAUGGACAACAAAUUCAUUGCACAAAGGAAUACAGAUUGUUAAACUUGGGCACAUGAGAUAUCUGAUUCUUGGCUGUUGUGCGAAUGAUCUCCUUUGCAUGACUCCUCAACUUGAGCUGCAAACUGCAGGUUCCACAGAACAUCCUCAAUCGAUGGCCUAUCAGAUUGCUCGUCUGCCAAACAUCUAAUGCAUAUUUCCAUCAUUAUCUUCAAUGAUUCUUCUCCACAUUCCUUGGCAACUGCUGGAUCAACAAUGCUCCUUCGAGCUUUAUGGUCAAUUGCUAUGCUUACUUGGAGUAGAUCUUUUACAACAGAUACUUCAUCAUUGGACAUGAUUGGCCUCCCAACAAUGAUUUCAACUAAGAUUACUCCCAAGUCAUACACUUCUUUCUUAUCAUCAUCAUUUUCCCUUGUCAAAAUUCUUUGUUUUAGUCCUGGAGAUGAAAAUACAGUUCCCACCAUUCCAUUACUUUCGGCUAACAAUGGCAGGUAAAAACUGCCGAUUUUUACAUGAAGAUCAUGAUCCAAUAGAACAUCUGUUAUCUUCAGAUUGUUAGAAUAUACACCAGGGACAACCCCAGUAUGCAGGAACUGAAUACCCUUUGUAACUCCAAUAGCAGCUCCAAUUCUUUUUUUCCAAGUCAUCUUUUUCCCUGGAAGUCCUGCCAGACAAAGAGCUAACGUGACAACAGCACAUUUAUUAUAUCCAGCACAAAAGAGUUAAUAUAGUUUUCUAUUUUAGACUUUAUUAAAUUCUUAAACACAAGUUUCAAAAAAGAUAAUCAGUUCACCAGAGGUGUAUUCUCUUAGUGUCCCAUUGGGAACAAACUCGAAAAUAAGAAAUAUUCUGCUGAUGCUUGAAUCAUCCUGGCAGGAGUCGAAGCAGUGUCCAAGAGCACUGACCAAAUGGUUAUGCCUGAGUUUGGAGAUCAACUCAAUAUGGUGAGUAAUGGUCUGCUGGCUGUGCUUUUUCUUCACUGUCAAGCUUCUAACAGCUACAAGAUUUCCAUCACUGAGCUUUCCCUUGUAAAUCUUAUUAUGUGAACCAUCACCCAGUAAAUUUGAGUCAUCAAAAUUAUUUGUAGCCUCCUUAAGCUCCUCCAAAGCAAAGGCACGGUAGGCAGGAAGGCUAGCUCCCAGCUUCAUUGUUUGCGAUAUGUGCCUUGCGUCUGAAAUCAGCUUUACUGUGUUUACAGUUGACACGUUCGCCAUAAUUAGCCUUGCUUUAGGCUUUUUCACAAUAUGUCUAAAACUAGGCACUCUUCUGAUAACCAAGAAAACCAGACCAACAAUUGCAAUCCCUCCAAUAGUCCAUCCUAUUGUGCUUGAUGCAGGAACUCCUUUGCCAUGAGGCCUAUUGUGCUUCUCCUUAUCAUGAGGCUUCACAGCUAGUGCUUCAUUGUUGCAGAAAUUAGAGGGAUGCUGCUCUUGUUCUUGGCAGGACAAGCAAUUUCUAGCAUACAAGACAACCCUGGUCUUGGAGCUAGAUUUAAGGCUGGUAGGCAAGUCUCCACUUAAAAGAUUUGAGGAUAAAUCUACAGAGGAAAGAUCAGAAUUGCAGGACAUGUUUUGAAAGAGAAGUCCUGUGAAUUUGUUCUGUGAAAUAUUGAUGUAAUUUAUGGAAGGGAGGGACAGUAAUGAUGGAAGAAAGGGUCCUACAAAUCCAUUCAUGGACAUGUCAAGCCUUUGAAGUUGAUAGUAGGAGAUCAAUUCAGAAGGGAUGCCAAACUGAAAGCUAUUAUUUCUGAGCAUAAUAGUCAGUAACCUGCUGUUCAAAUUUGGAAAAUGAGGCCCAAAAUAAUUGCCCUCUAAAUCAAGAACUUGAAGGUUUGUCAAGUUAUGAAGGUCAGGCACUUCUCCAGACAAAUGAUUCUUAGAAACCGAAAAAAUUCGAAGAUUUUCCAUGCUAUUCAUCGUAUUCGGCAGAGACCCAAUAAGUGAAUUGUUCUUCAAGCUCAAUACAGCCAGAAGAGGAAGUGAACUUAGCCAACCAGGAACUUGGCCGGUAAACCUGUUAUGGUCUAACACAAGUGUUUGAAGGCUCAUCAAAGAUGAAAGUUGCUCUGGAAUGGCACCAGUGAAGUGAUUUGAACUUACAUUAAGUAUUUCCAGUGAAGAUAACUGACCAAUAGUUGCAGGCAAUGGGCCCCAUAAGCCAAGAGAAACCAGAGACAGGACCUUCAAGCUAGAUAAAGUAACAAGAGAGUCAAAGAAAGCUUCAGUGGAGAUAUUUUGAAGCAGAGGAAGCCCACUGUUUCCUACAAUGUGAAGCUGGGUUAUGUUAUCUUCAUAGCACACCAGAGUUAGAGAUGAAGUUGGUCCAAUAUUGCAGAAAUCUGUGGAAAUGUUAAAGCUGCCAUUGCCAAGGAGUGAUGGGUAGUUAAGAAGCUGCUGAAUUAGCGGAAGAGACUGAGAAUGAGAUUGAGAGGGUUGCAGCUGCUGGCUUGAAUGAUGAAAGAGUGACAAAAAAAACAGUACAAAAAGAAGAUGAUAAGGAUGCUGAACUGGGUUUUCCAUCAAAACUGUGUCUAAGAUAAUGGUUAUAGGAUUACAGGUUUAGAAAGUUUUAAAGAGGCUUCACCAUAUGACGUUGGGAAAUGAUGAAAACUCUCCCUCUAUCUCUCUCUUUCUCUCUCUCUAAUUUUCUCUAGUUUUUGUGUCUUAGAUUAAGUUUAUUGUAAUUGAUUUUGCUUAUCUGUGUUGAUUGGGUCUCAGUGUUUUUUUUUUUUUUUG